Molecule: ribosomal RNA, 497 nt
Filed under: uncultured bacterium
Lineage: Bacteria
Description: partial 16S ribosomal RNA
Rfam family: Bacterial small subunit ribosomal RNA
Source: RNAcentral
GACGAACGCUGGCGGCGUGCCUAAUACAUGCAAGUUGAGCGCUGAAGGUUGGUACUUGUACCAACUGGAUGAGCAGCGAACGGGUGAGUAACGCGUGGGGAAUCUGCCUUUGAGCGGGGGACAACAUUUGGAAACGAAUGCUGAUACCGCAUAAAAACUUUAAACACAAGUUUUAAGUUUGAAAGAUGCAAUUGCAUCACUCAAAGAUGAUCCCGCGUUGUAUUAGCUAGUUGGUGAGGUAAAGGCUCACCAAGGCGAUGAUACAUAGCCGACCUGAGAGGGUGAUCGGCCACAGUGGGACUGAGACACGGCCCAAACUCCUACGGGAGGCAGCAGUAGGGAAUCUUCGGCAAUGGACGAAAGUCUGACCGAGCAACGCCGCGUGAGUGAAGAAGGUUUUCGGAUCGUAAAACCCUGUUGGUAGAGAAGAACGUUGGUGAGAGUGGAAAGCUCAUCAAGUGACGGUAACUACCCAGAAAGGGACGGCUAACUACGUG